RNAcentral lists this ribosomal RNA (778 nucleotides) under uncultured Neocallimastigales. RNAcentral describes it as "partial large subunit ribosomal RNA". It matches the Rfam family "Eukaryotic large subunit ribosomal RNA", at positions 26 to 616 of the family's 3401-position model. Lineage: Eukaryota; Fungi; Neocallimastigomycota; Neocallimastigomycetes; Neocallimastigales. The record is from RNAcentral.
CGCAUCUGUGCAUGCAGCAUAUCAAUAAGCGGAGGAAAAGAAACUAACAAGGAUUCCCCUAGUAACGGCGAGUGAAGCGGGAAGAGCUCAAAUUUGAAAUCUUAAAGGGUUUCCCUUUACGAAUUGUAGUUUAAAGAAGUGUUUUCUGUUGAGGUUUUGGUAAAAGUUCUUUGGAAUAGGACAUCAUAGAGGGUGAGAAUCCCGUAUUUGACCUUUACUUUCAACUUUGUGAUACACUUUCAAAGAGUCGGAUUGUUUGGGAAUGCAGUCCAAAAUGGGUGGUAAAUUUCAUCUAAAGCUAAAUAUUGGCGAGAGACCGAUAGCGAACAAGUACCGUGAGGGAAAGAUGAAAAGAACUUUGAAAAGAGAGUUAAACAGUACGUGAAAUUGUCAAAAGGGAAGCGUUUGACACCAGUGUUGUCUUUUCUGAAAAUCAAUUAAAGAACUGUUUAUGCUAAGUUGUUUAGACUUUAUCAGCUAACUGUUUAGUUUUGAGCUUUUCUUUAAUGCACUUUUCAGUUAACAAGUCAACAUCAAUUUCUUUUGCUGUAAAAAAGCUUGAGGAAGGUGGCUUGAGAUUCGUCUUAAGUGUUUAUAGCCUCUUGCCUAUGCAGUCGGAGAGAUUGAGGUCUGCAGCGUAGAUCCUUCGGGGCUAAAUGCAUUUGUGCUAAGUUAUAGCAUUUUAUUAUAGACAACUUGUUGACUAUGAUUUGUCUUAUAGCUUACUCGCUUAUGUUAUUUUACCUACGCUUAGGAUGUUGAGCGCAUGUCUCUCUCU